UAGGGAAUCUUCGGCAAUGGACGAAAGUCUGACCGAGUAACGCCGCGUGAGUGAAGAAGGUUUUCGGAUCGUAAAACUCUGUUGUUAGAGAAGAACAAGGACGUUAGUAACUGAACGUCCCCUGACGGUAUCUAACCAGAAAGCCACGGCUAACUACGUGCCAGCAGCCGCGGUAAUACGUAGGUGGCAAGCGUUGUCCGGAUUUAUUGGGCGUAAAGCGAGCGCAGGCGGUUUCUUAAGUCUGAUGUGAAAGCCCCCGGCUCAACCGGGGAGGGUCAUUGGAAACUGGGAGACUUGAGUGCAGAAGAGGAGAGUGGAAUUCCAUGUGUAGCGGUGAAAUGCGUAGAUAUAUGGAGGAACACCAGUGGCGAAGGCGGCUCUCUGGUCUGUAACUGACGCUGAGGCUCGAAAGCGUGGGGAGCAAACAGG
Molecule: ribosomal RNA, 429 nt
Filed under: Gemmatimonadota bacterium
Lineage: Bacteria; Pseudomonadati; Gemmatimonadota
Description: Gemmatimonadetes bacterium partial 16S ribosomal RNA
Rfam family: Bacterial small subunit ribosomal RNA
Source: RNAcentral